CCUACGGGUGGCAGCAGUCGAGAAUCAUUCACAAUGGGGGAAACCCUGAUGGUGCGACGCCGCGUGGGGGAAUGAAGGCCUUCGGAUUGUAAACCCCUGUCAUGUGGGAGCAAAUUAAAAAGAUAGUACCACAAGAGGAAGAGACGGCUAACUCUGCGCCAGCAGCCCCGGUAAUACAGAGGUCUCAAGCGUUGUUCGGAAUCACUGGGAGUAAAGCGGGCGUAGGUUGAUACGUAAGUCGUGUGCGAAAGGCGCGGGCUCAACCCGCGGACGGCAAAUGAUAAUGCGCGACUAGGGUGAUGGAGGGGGAACCGGAAUUCUCGGUGUAGCGGUGAAAUGCGUAGAUAUCGAGAGGAACACUCGUGGCGAAGGCGGGUUCCUGGACAUUAACUGACGCUGAGGCACGAAGGCGAGGGGAGCGAAAGGGAUUAGAUACCCCAGUAGUC
RNAcentral lists this ribosomal RNA (446 nucleotides) under uncultured bacterium. RNAcentral describes it as "partial 16S ribosomal RNA". It matches the Rfam family "Bacterial small subunit ribosomal RNA", at positions 338 to 795 of the family's 1533-position model. The record is from RNAcentral.